AACACAACUCGUAGGUCUACUCUUUAUGUACAGUACAUGACUAUUGUACUUGUUAAUGUUAUCUUAGAUUCAGCCGCUCGUCCAUUAUCUUUUGAUUUGCGUAGAACCAGUCCUGUGGACCCUGCGUUCACUGCCUUUUCAAGAGAUCCAGUCGGUAGUCGGUUUGUCGUUCCGGAGCUCCGUUGAUCAUGUAGGGGUUUCAUUUGACUUUUCACUACCAAGAUGUGGUGGUUUUCUCGGUCAUGAAAACGAUCUAUCGGAGGUGAACAGGAAAGGUCCAGCACCAGCUACGCUAUUGCCAGUAAGAACAUCGCAACGGGGCACGUGAUGCUGGGCCGUCCCGCUAUCCUUCGUCCAGUUGGCCUCAACGUCCAUAUUUGAUCACCCCGACCUGAAAUCCAGUGGCCAGUGCAGCGCAGCAAAUUGUUGGCCUGUCACUCCGGCAGCUACGUUGCAAGAACCUUCUGGCCAACCUGUUCUUGCGCACAAAGUGGAACAUCAGCAGGAGGUUGCUUCCUUGUUUGCCUCAUGCUGGGCGUUCUCAAGCUCUAGCAUCCAGAGCUGCCUCAGGGGUGCAACUUGCCUCAUCGGCGUCGACCAGUCUGUCGUUUCUUUGGAGUGGCUGCGAUCCCUGUGCCACCGUGAUUGUCUCCAUUCGGCCAGUGUGUUGUCAUGCUACGCUACAGUGCUGUGUCCGCUGUCAUUCCCUGUGAAUGGUCCCUGCGCCCCGUCUCACCAAAGCCUGAGUGUUCAAAUCAGGUUUGCAUUGCUUUCGCUUGGCUGAGGCCUCCGACUCGUCGUACCCUGCCGAGCCCGUCUUUUCUCGAGUGCUGUCUUCAUCCCUGUCCGUUGAUAGUUCCAGUUGCUGCUGUACUAACUCCCACAUAUUCCAUCCCCAGUUACGUCGGAAGCUUUUCAGUAUAUAUAUUUUUUUAUUUUUGUAUUUUCUGUAGAGCAUACCUUUGUGUUUGUGUCGGUCCUGUACGAUUCCACCAGUCGGGGUGGUGCGCCUCUUCACAUGCGUAGGCUCAGACCUUUCUCACUACAAGUAUGUCUAUUGUAACAAAAGUCUUUGCACGGGCCUGUUGACAUGGAUUUCUCAUACCUUACUGUUCACUAGUUGAGGAAAUAGAGAAGUGAAAAUCUGAACAGGAAUUUUUAUUUAAAUCUGUAUUUCUCUUUCUCUCAAGGCAUUACAAAAUGUCUAUAUUAUUUAUAGCUCUUCUUUCACCGGAGGAUGUAGAGUAGACGGUUCGAUACCGGAACGCUUUGACAGCCAAAUUUGUAUAGACCCAAACCGAUCAUCAGCGUUGAUUUUUCACUUGAAAUAUGUUUGUGGA
This is a long non-coding RNA of Sycon ciliatum, 1340 nucleotides long. RefSeq lists it as uncharacterized. The transcript has 5 exons. The record is from RefSeq and is a predicted model, not a curated record. NCBI's taxonomy places the organism in Eukaryota, Metazoa, Porifera, Calcarea, Leucosolenida, Sycettidae.